UACGUAGGGUGCGAGCGUUAAUCGGAAUGACUGGGCGUAAAGGGUGUGUAGGCGGUCUGUUAAGUCGGGUGUGAAAGCCCCGGGCUCAACCUGGGAAUUGCAUUCGAGACUGAAUAGCUAGGGUACGGUAGAGGGAAGUGGAAUUUCCGGUGUAGCGGUGAAAUUCGUAGAUAUGGGGAGGAACACCGGUGGCGAAGGCGGCCAUCUGGACGGUAACUGACGCUGAGACGCGAAAGCGUGGGUAGCAAACAGG
RNAcentral lists this ribosomal RNA (253 nucleotides) under uncultured bacterium. Its description in RNAcentral is "partial 16S ribosomal RNA". It matches the Rfam family "Bacterial small subunit ribosomal RNA", at positions 524 to 776 of the family's 1533-position model. The record is from RNAcentral.